Molecule: non-coding RNA, 23 nt
Filed under: Mus musculus (house mouse)
Lineage: Eukaryota; Metazoa; Chordata; Mammalia; Rodentia; Muridae
Source: RNAcentral
UGGACGAGCCCCCAACUGAAAGA